GGGUAACCUGCCUGUAAGACUGGGAUAACUCCGGGAAACCGGGGCUAAUACCGGAUGCUUGAUUGAACCGCAUGGUUCAAUUAUAAAAGGUGGCUUUUAGCUACCACUUACAGAUGGACCCGCGGCGCAUUAGCUAGUUGGUGAGGUAACGGCUCACCAAGGCAACGAUGCGUAGCCAACCUGAGAGGGUGAUCGGCCACACUGGGACUGAAACACGGCCCAAACUCCUACGGGAGGCAGCAGUAGGGAAUCUUCCGCAAUGGACAAAAGUCUGACGGAGCACCGCCGCGGGAGUGAUGAAGGUUUUCGGAUCGUAAAACUCUGUUGUUAGGGAAGAACAAGUACCGUUCGAAUAGGGCGGUACCUUGACGGUACCUAACCAAAAAGCCACGGCUAACUACGUGCCAGCGGCCGCGGUAAUACUUAGGUGGCAAGCGUUGUCCGAAAUUAUGGGGCGUAAAGCGCGCGCAGGCGGUUUCUUAAUUCUGAUGUGAAACCCCCCGGCUCAACCGGGGAGGGUCAUUGGAAACUGGGGAACUUGAGUGCAAAAAAGGGAGAGUGAAAUUCCCACGUGUACCGGUGAAAGGCUUAAAAGAUGGG
This 600-nucleotide ribosomal RNA is filed under the name Bacillus licheniformis. RNAcentral's name for it is "bacterial SSU rRNA". It matches the Rfam family "Bacterial small subunit ribosomal RNA", at positions 119 to 701 of the family's 1533-position model. Lineage: Bacteria; Bacillati; Bacillota; Bacilli; Caryophanales; Bacillaceae. The record is from RNAcentral.